Molecule: transfer RNA, 77 nt
Filed under: Burkholderia multivorans
Lineage: Bacteria; Pseudomonadati; Pseudomonadota; Betaproteobacteria; Burkholderiales; Burkholderiaceae
Description: tRNA-Pro
Source: RNAcentral
CCGACGGGCAGGCGGCGGCCGGCGCGGUCGGCACGCUGGGCGCGGGCAACCCGCUGUUCGAUACGGUGCUGACGGCC